UACGUAUGGAGCAAGCGUUAUCCGGAUUUACUGGGUGUAAAGGGAGCGCAGGCGGCUUUGCAAGUCUGAUGUGAAAGGCCGGGGCUCAACCCCGGGACUGCAUUGGAAACUGUAAAGCUAGAGUGCCGGAGGGGUAAGCGGAAUUCCUAGUGUAGCGGUGAAAUGCGUAGAUAUUAGGAGGAACACCGGCGGCGAAGGCGGCUUACUGGACUGUAACUGACGUUGAGGCUCGAAAGCGUGGGGAGCAAACAGG
RNAcentral lists this ribosomal RNA (253 nucleotides) under uncultured bacterium. RNAcentral describes it as "partial 16S ribosomal RNA". It matches the Rfam family "Bacterial small subunit ribosomal RNA", at positions 524 to 776 of the family's 1533-position model. The record is from RNAcentral.